This 208-nucleotide ribosomal RNA is filed under the name uncultured bacterium. RNAcentral describes it as "partial 16S ribosomal RNA". It matches the Rfam family "Bacterial small subunit ribosomal RNA", at positions 568 to 775 of the family's 1533-position model. The record is from RNAcentral.
UGCGUAGGCGGCCGCUUAAGUAGGGUGUGAAGUGUCCCGGCUCAACCGGGGAAUGGCGCUCUAAACUGGGUGGCUCGAGUGAGAUAGAGGUGUGCGGAACUUCCGGUGGAGCGGUGAAAUGUGUUGAUAUCGGAGGGAACACCAUUGGCGAAAGCGGCACACUGGGUCUUAACUGACGCUGAGGCACGAAAGCCAGGGGAGGCAAACG